GACUUUGCGGGGAGAAUGUUAGUGUCUGCUGUGGAGGAGUGAAGGGCUGGGAGGCUCAGCUGGGAUCAGGACUUACGACCCUGAGCUCAUGAUCAGCUUAGGCAACAGAGAUUUGGCUUUGCCAACCAUCUGCUUUGUCUGAAGAUUUUCAGCCGAUGAAGCUCUAGGAAGUUCAAACACCAUUGUGUCCUGCUCCCGGACUGGUGACUUGGAGAGAGCUCUAACAGGGCAGGAUGGCCCAGGAUCUCAGUGAGAAGGAGCUGCUGAGGAUGGAGGUGGAGCAGUUGAAGAAGGAAGUAAAGAACCCACGUGAUCCGAUUUCCAAGACAGGAAAGGAAAUCAAGGAUUAUGUAGAGGCCCAAUCAGGGACCGACCCUCUUCUGAAAGGCAUCCCAGAAGACAAGAAUCCCUUCAAGGAGAAAGGCACUUGUGUGAUAAGCUGAUGGCCUACCCUCAAGACCCUCACCCUUUCUCUGUCCCUCCUCAGUCUCACCAGUGUAC
RNAcentral lists this long non-coding RNA (501 nucleotides) under Rattus norvegicus (Norway rat). RNAcentral's name for it is "long non-coding RNA NONRATT004791". Lineage: Eukaryota; Metazoa; Chordata; Mammalia; Rodentia; Muridae. The record is from RNAcentral.